Molecule: long non-coding RNA, 825 nt
Organism: Spinacia oleracea (spinach)
Lineage: Eukaryota; Viridiplantae; Streptophyta; Magnoliopsida; Caryophyllales; Amaranthaceae
Exons: 2
Source: RefSeq, a predicted model, not a curated record
UUAAGUUAAGUUAAGUUAAGUUAAGUUCAGUUUAGUUCAAUUCAGUUCAGUUCAGUUCAGUUCUGUUUGGGAGCAUUCAGUUCAGUUCAUUUCAGUUCAAUUCAGUUAGAGCUGAUCAUGGGCGGGGUAACCCGCCAAGCCCCGCCCGCUAAAAUAGCGGGCUUGGACAACAUUUUUUUAAAAAAAUCAAUAAUUGGAAGGGCUAGGCCCGACCCGUUAAUAAAAAUGGGCGGGUUACGACACACAAAAUUUAUUAACGGAAAGGCCGCUUGACCCCUUAAAUUUAAAUAACAUAUUUAAAAUACUGAUUGGUGUCUUUAUGUCUUACAAAAUUCAAAGAAUACAGACAUAGGAAUUAGAAAAUUAAAAACUAAAAAAGAAUAUUCUAGAGUAUGUAAUUUCCUAAAAGAAACCCUAAAGGCCUAAACUAACAUUUUCAUUUCACAAAACAACCGUCACUUUCUAGUCUCCUACUCUCUUACCUUCUUCAUCUUCUUGCUCACUACACUUACUCCAUUGCUUCUCCAUCUACGAAGCUACUCACGCAGACCUAGAGACGGCGAGCCAUAUUUCAUCGCACAUGUCACGAAAGUUCUUGGUAAAGAUAAUGUUGAAGCUAGAUGGACCAUAAUUCUCCUUGAAUGAGAUGAUGGAUGGAUAAUGUGUUGUUUGAACACCAUGUUUUACCUUCUAAUUAGAGCUGUCGGUUGUUCCCCUCUUUUUAAUGAAAUUUGCAGGUUGUUUAUGAAAUACCAAUGGUUGUAAUUUGUCUUUGAAGUUGGAUGAUUUGCUUUUUUAUUUAACUUAUUUCUAUGAGGUUUGGUA